Molecule: non-coding RNA, 375 nt
Organism: Leptonychotes weddellii (Weddell seal)
Lineage: Eukaryota; Metazoa; Chordata; Mammalia; Carnivora; Phocidae
Source: RefSeq, a predicted model, not a curated record
CGCACGGAUGGCGCCGGGAGCUGCAGAGGUUCUGACACUUAUUCAUGGAGGCAUGCCCUUCCUGCCUUGGGGCCUCAGUUUCCCUGUUCUAGAAGGAGACAGAACAUUAAUUCAACAAAUAUUUAUUGAGCACCUACUAUAAGCCAGCCCCUGUUUUAAGCAGCAGUGGAGAUACAACAGUGAACAAGACCGACAAUGUCUCUACCCUCAGAUCUUACAUUGGGGUGGUGGAGACAGACAGUAAAUGAAGAAACAGAAAUGGGAUCAUACUAUAUAGGUCUGGUACCAGACCAGCAGCUUGGACAUGACCUGGAGUUUGUCAGAAAUGUAGAAUCUCUUGGGGCACCUGGGUGGCUCAGUCGGUUAAGCUUUGGG